Herpailurus yagouaroundi (jaguarundi) is the source of this 952-nucleotide long non-coding RNA. RefSeq lists it as uncharacterized. The transcript is spliced from 3 exons. The record is from RefSeq and is a predicted model, not a curated record. NCBI's taxonomy places the organism in Eukaryota, Metazoa, Chordata, Mammalia, Carnivora, Felidae.
CAUGAACUGUGAGAUCAUGACCUGACCCCCAAGUAGGACGCUUAACCGACUGAGCCACCCAGGCACCCCUACAAGACGAUUUUUAAAGAUACUUUCAGAUUGAACCAAAGAGCUAGGAGGUGACAGUUCAGUCUCAGAUUUGGGGGCUGGGAAGCUUUGCUAAUCCCACUGCUACCCCCACCCCGCCACCCCCGCAAAACCAGAGAAAUGUAACCGUUCUACUGUGAGAGCACCCAAAGGCGGAUCUCGGAAAAUAGAGAGUCCUGGGAAGACACCAGCAGUCAGCGGGCCCCUGGGAAGGAACCUUCAGGCAAGAAGGCUUCCAGUGGUUUCCUUGCUUUCCUCCUGGGGAGGAGGAGGAGGGCAGUGGGCCAAAGCGCCGGGGCAGGCAAACUCCUGCACGUGGAGAAUGGCGUAUUCAGAGGCAAUCGUUGCAGCACUGUUUACGAUACAGAAGAUUGGGAAGAAGCACAGCAGCCUAUCAGGAGAAACUGGAAGGCAAAUUGCAGACAUCUUCAAAUGACAAACAAAAAACAGAAUGAACCACCCUAGACCCUUAUUAAGGAAACUUGCAAGCAUGUACCUGAAAAGAAAACUGAACCUAGGGGAAAAAAUCGUGAGAUUCAAGAAGAAAGAGUGAAUAAACACUGGGAAAACGAAAUAAAACCGAACAAAUUAUGACUACUCAAAACUACCUUUCCAGACCAGAAGAAGGUAGGACACACGGCCACAGAGUGCAGCAUGUGAGAUCGGAGAGGUCCUCGCCCAGGACAGACGGCAGCAGAACCACGGACGAAACCGUGAAGAAACCCGUCAGGGUUAAUGGAUACAGCUGCAUCUGUGUGAACCCGCUAGCUGGACCGUCACAACGGGAACACCCAAGAUAGGAAGGCUGGGGAAGUGCAUGGAAAGUGUUUCUACUGCUUUGCAACUUUUAAGUCCAAAGUCAAUU